UAUUGCACAAUGGGCGAAAGCCUGAUGCAGCAACGCCGCGUGAGUGAUGAAGGCCUUCGGGUCGUAAAACUCUGUCCUCAAGGAAGAUAAUGACGGUACUUGAGGAGGAAGCCCCGGCUAACUACGUGCCAGCAGCCGCGGUAAUACGUAGGGGGCUAGCGUUAUCCGGAUUUACUGGGCGUAAAGGGUGCGUAGGUGGUUUUUUAAGUCAGGAGUGAAAGGCUACGGCUCAACCGUAGUAAGCUCUUGAAACUGGAAAACUUGAGUGCAGGAGAGGAAAGUGGAAUUCCUAGUGUAGCGGUGAAAUGCGUAGAUAUUAGGAGGAACACCAGUAGCGAAGGCGGCUUUCUGGACUGUAACUGACACUGAGGCACGAAAGCGUGGGGAGCAAACAGG
This 396-nucleotide ribosomal RNA is filed under the name uncultured bacterium. Its description in RNAcentral is "bacterial SSU rRNA". It matches the Rfam family "Bacterial small subunit ribosomal RNA", at positions 362 to 776 of the family's 1533-position model. The record is from RNAcentral.